UGGCGGACGGGUGAGUAACGCGUGGAAAACCUGCCGUAUACUGGGGGAUAACACUUAGAAAUAGGUGCUAAUACCGCAUAAGCGCACAGCUUCGCAUGAAGCGGUGUGAAAAACUCUGGUGGUAUACGAUGGUUCCGCGUCUGAUUAGCUAGUUGGUGGGGUAAUGGCCUACCAAGGCAACGAUCAGUAGCCGGCCUGAGAGGGUGAACCGGCCACAUUGGGACUGAGACACGGCCCAAACUCCUACGGGAGGCAGCAG
Molecule: ribosomal RNA, 259 nt
Filed under: uncultured bacterium
Lineage: Bacteria
Description: partial 16S ribosomal RNA
Rfam family: Bacterial small subunit ribosomal RNA
Source: RNAcentral